UUAUUUUUUUUACUCUCUCUCUCUCUCUCUUUUUCUCUUUCUCUUUCUCUUUCUUUCCUUCGAAUUCUUUCUUAUCAGUUCGAUUGUGUCUCAUUCGAAACGCUCGUAACGUUUUUCGCGCCUGUUUUCUUGCGAGAUAAAGUUUUACGCACUAGAAUUAGUUUCGAGCGUGUGUUUGUUUGAUCGUUUUUUUAAGAAAAAGAAAGAAUUAGUUUUUGUCUUUUGUGUUUUUUCUUUUUCAUUAUUCUUGUUUUGUAUAUUUUUGUUUUUUUUUUUUUAAAUAAAAGAAGAGGAUGGAUUUAAAGACAAGUAGGAUUGUUAGAUCGAUUAAUAAAGGUUCUUUGAUGCACCGAAAUCGAGCGAGAAAACUUUACCGAUAGUUCACUUUAACCCACGAAGAAACGACGAAUUUCGAGCAGUAUCGUUGGACUUAAUUAGCCUAGUAGUAGAGUCGAGCCAAUGAAAAGUUUCUAUUCUUCCUGUUACUGGAUCCUCCGUUAUCUGUGGUUCACUGUUGUACGGUGAUAAGUCGUCAAAUGUGUGAGAAAAAAUCUGACGAACAACGAACUAUGAUGAAAA
RNAcentral lists this long non-coding RNA (579 nucleotides) under Polistes fuscatus (common paper wasp). RNAcentral's name for it is "uncharacterized LOC122524409". The record is from RNAcentral. Lineage: Eukaryota; Metazoa; Arthropoda; Insecta; Hymenoptera; Vespidae.